GGAAAGAACAACAGGGAUUGCCCCAGUAACGGCGAGUGAAGCGGCAAGAGCUCAAAUUUGAAAGCUGGCUCCUUCGGGGUCCGCAUUGUAAUUUGCAGAGGAUGCUUCGGGAGCGGUCCCCAUCUAAGUGCCCUGGAACGGGACGUCAUAGAGGGUGAGAAUCCCGUAUGGGAUGGGGUGUCCGCGCCCGUGUGAAGCUCCUUCGACGAGUCGAGUUGUUUGGGAAUGCAGCUCUAAAUGGGUGGUAAAUUUCAUCUAAAGCUAAAUAUUGGCCGGAGACCGAUAGCGCACAAGUAGAGUGAUCGAAAGAUGAAAAGCACUUUGAAAAGAGAGUUAAAAAGCACGUGAAAUUGUUGAAAGGGAAGCGCUUGCGACCAGACUCGCUCGCGGGGUUCAGCCGGCAUUCGUGCCGGUGUACUUCCCCGCGGGCGGGCCAGCGUCGGUUUGGGUGGUCGGUCAAAGGCCCUCGGAAGGUAACGCCCCCUCGGGGGCGUCUUAUAGCCGAGGGUGCAAUGCGACCUGCCUGGACCGAGGAACGCGCUUCGGCUCGGACGCUGGCAUAAUGGUCGUAAGCGACCCGUCUUGAAACACGGACCAAGGAGUCUAACACCUACGCGAGUGUUCGGGUGUCAAACCCGUGCGCGCAGUGAAAGCGAACGGAGGUGGGAACCCUUUUGGGUGCACCAUCGACCGAUCCUGAUGUCUUCGGAUGGAUUUGAGUAAGAGCGUAGCUGUUGGGGCCCGAAAGAUGGUGAACUAUGCCUGAAUAGGGCGAA
RNAcentral lists this ribosomal RNA (776 nucleotides) under uncultured fungus. RNAcentral's name for it is "LSU rRNA". It matches the Rfam family "Eukaryotic large subunit ribosomal RNA", at positions 56 to 850 of the family's 3401-position model. Lineage: Eukaryota; Fungi. The record is from RNAcentral.